UACGUAGGGGGCAAGCGUUGUCCGGAAUUAUUGGGCGUAAAGGGUGCGUAGGCGGCCUUACAAGUUGGAUGUGAAAUCCCCGUGCUUAACAUGGGAACUGCAUCCAAAACUGUAGGGCUUGAGUGUGGAAGAGGUAAGUGGAAUUCCCAGUGUAGCGGUGAAAUGCGUAGAUAUUGGGAGGAACACCAGUGGCGAAGGCGACUUACUGGGCCACAACUGACGCUGAGGCACGAAAGCGUGGGGAGCAA
This 248-nucleotide ribosomal RNA is filed under the name uncultured Christensenellaceae bacterium. RNAcentral describes it as "partial 16S ribosomal RNA". It matches the Rfam family "Bacterial small subunit ribosomal RNA", at positions 524 to 771 of the family's 1533-position model. Lineage: Bacteria; Bacillati; Bacillota; Clostridia; Christensenellales; Christensenellaceae. The record is from RNAcentral.